GACGAACGCUGGCGGCGUGCCUAAGACAUGCAAGUCGAGCGGGGUUCACCGGCGGCGGAAGCCGCUGGUGGGCUUGAGCGGCGGACGGGUGAGUAACACGCAGGCAACCUGCCCUCAAGACUGGGAUAACACUGGGAAACCGGUGCUAAUACCGGAUGAGGCGGCUCAUCGCAUGAUGGGUUGGCCAAAGGGCGCCGGUGAGGCGCCGCUUGGGGAUGGGCCUGCGGCCUAUCAGCUAGUUGGCGGGGUAACGGCCCACCAAGGCUAUGACGGGUAGCCGGCCUGAGAGGGUGGUCGGCCACACUGGGACUGAGACACGGCCCAGACUCCUACGGGAGGCAGCAUG
This 346-nucleotide ribosomal RNA is filed under the name uncultured bacterium. RNAcentral describes it as "bacterial SSU rRNA". It matches the Rfam family "Bacterial small subunit ribosomal RNA", at positions 28 to 354 of the family's 1533-position model. The record is from RNAcentral.